Aphis gossypii (cotton aphid) is the source of this 1155-nucleotide long non-coding RNA. RefSeq lists it as uncharacterized. The record is from RefSeq and is a predicted model, not a curated record. NCBI's taxonomy places the organism in Eukaryota, Metazoa, Arthropoda, Insecta, Hemiptera, Aphididae. The transcript is spliced from 3 exons.
AACAUAGGAAAAUUGUUUAAAUUGUAAGUCAAUAUUUAAUUAUUUGAAGAGUGUAUUUUUAAAUUCGUUUAAACUUAACGUAAUUUUAGAUUCCGUACAAAUACGGUUUAUAUAAUAUCUCCGUAAUGUAACGGUCCGUUCUAUUAAUUACCAUGAUUUUACAUGCGUCCCAGAAAAAAAGAAAAGAAAAGAAAAAUAAAUUUAUUUUACAAAAAACUUAACAACUCAAAGAAGUCUUCUUUUAAUAAAGAUUUAUGUUAUGCUUAAUUCAAUUAAUUCAAUCGCCUAAAGUUAAAUACGUAUAAAGCUUAACUUGUAACUAAUUAUUUAUCAUCGUGUAUCUAUGUUUUAAAUUAAAUUUAUAUAUUAUAAACAAUGCAUAGAUGCACACAAUAUUACACACACUAUUUUAUUUUUUUGUUACGCUAUAUUUUAAUAUGCUGGCUUAAAUAUAAGUUGUCGAUUUCCCCAAAAUAAAAUAUUUUGUUUACUUGUAACUAAGAGACUAAAUUAUAUAAAGAUUUCACAAUUUAUAUUUGCAUUCAUAUCCUGUUAGACAAAAAAUUUCGUCAGUACUAUUUUGAACGUUCAACCGUAGACAUCUGCAGUAUAAAAUAAAUUUAACUCGUCUAUAAUAUAAAAAAUAAAGAAUUCAUAAUUUAUAUUUGCAUUUCACAUUUGACGUGUUACUCAUAUAAUUUUGAUAGUUAAAUUUAAAUCGAAUAUUUAAUUCGAGUAUCUACUCUUCUUUUGGCAUUUAUCACUUCUCAUCUAACCGUAAGCAAUAUUGAACAAUUGUUUAAAUUGUGCUAUUUCAAUAGUGCUUGAUUUAUUCAAAAUGAAUUUUUUUCAAAAAGUAAAGACAUGGUCUUCAGCUUCAUAUUCGUUUAUUCAACGGCUACUAGGAAUCCUGUGUUUAUUCAUUCUGGACAACAAACACAUGACGAUGAUAUAUAUCUCGACCAACGUCUGGCUGCUAUACGUGGCACGUCUGAUCGCUGGAUCUGUCAUAUUUAUUUUUGCGUCGUCUCUACUGGCACAAAGGGCCGGUCGGCGAGAACGUUAUCAAAUACUACUUGAGGCGUCCCGGGGUUAUGAGCUCGCGGAGGUCGAAGCCCUUAAACUUCGUUUCGACGCCAUUUUUCCACCGUUGGG